CACACCCUCUUGGGAGGGUCACUAAACAGCAUAAAUUCUUAGACUGUCUCAUGAAAGUGAGUGAGCUGACCAACCACCAGUUCUAUGAAAAUGUAUCUAUUGAGGAGUUUAAUUUUGACUUUUAAGAGUGGAUAUACCCAUCGAGACUAAAGCUGAAGGCUAGAAGGGCCCACCAGAUCAUGUAGUCUGACCUCCUGUAUACCACAGGCUACCAGUUAGCACCUGCUCACUAAACCCAACCACUGAAAUAAGACUAACAUAUCAUAGCCAACAGGAGACUCAACUGUUCCGUGUGACUCAUUUGCUCUAGAAGUCAGAAGGUUGCAGAGAACAAGGAAGGAGGUGCAGUAGGAAGAGAACGGAUGCUUUUGUGGCUGGUGCAUAGGAUUCAGUUCUAUCUCGGCCUCUACCACAGUCUUCCACUGUGAUGCUGAGCAAGUAAUUUAUCCCAAAACAUUGUCAAAUGACCACUAAUUGUUCCUUAUUUUUCUGGGAGCCUGACUGAAGACACCUGGGGGCUUGAUGUGGUGAAAAGCCAAACCAUCAGAACUGCAACUGAAGACAAUGAGAGCUGUGGAUGCUCAGAACCUCUGCAAUAAGACGGUGCAGUCAGGAGAAAUGCACAUUAUGUUGGGAAAAACCUUUUUGAAGCUGCAUAAGCCUAUCAAAGCGCAUUGUGCUGGGAAGGGUGUUGAACUGAGGUGAAACCAGAGAACUGGGGUGCACUGCUUUCUUGGAACCCGUGGAUCAAUGUGCAUUGUGGGACAUAAAUUGCUAGCCUGCACUGGAAAAGAGCGAGGCUUGUAGAGCCCGAGCGGAGUGCUCGUGUUGCCCAACAGUUGAUAAUUGUAAUGUGGUUUCCCCUGGUGGGCACACACAGGGCUGGCUCCAGGC
Molecule: long non-coding RNA, 894 nt
Organism: Dermochelys coriacea (leatherback sea turtle)
Lineage: Eukaryota; Metazoa; Chordata; Testudines; Dermochelyidae
Exons: 3
Source: RefSeq, a predicted model, not a curated record